This 404-nucleotide ribosomal RNA is filed under the name uncultured bacterium. Its description in RNAcentral is "bacterial SSU rRNA". It matches the Rfam family "Bacterial small subunit ribosomal RNA", at positions 97 to 520 of the family's 1533-position model. The record is from RNAcentral.
GGCGGACGGGUGAGUAGCGCGUGACGACCUGCCCGCGAGUGGGGGCCAACCCCGGGAAACCGGGGCUGUUACCGCAUGAGUCCGGCCAUCGGUGGGAUGGUCGGGGAAGCCCUUCGGGGCGCUGGCGGAGGGGGUUGCGUCCGAUUAGCUAGUCGGCGGGGUGACGGCCCACCGAGGCGACGAUCGGUCGCUGGUCUGAGAGGACGACCAGCCACAGGGGGACUGAGACACGGCCCCACACCUACGGGUGGCAGCAGCGAGGGAUUUUCGGCAAUGGGCGCAAGCCUGACCGAGCAACGCCGCGUGCGGGACGACGCCCCUCGGGGUGUAAACCGUUUUGACGGGGGCGAAGCUGACGGUACCCGUCGAAUCAGUCUCGGCUAACUACGUGCCAGCCGCCGCGG